UACGGGGGGGGCAAGCGUUGUUCGGAAUUACUGGGCGUAAAGGGCUCGUAGGCGGCCAACUAAGUCGGAUGUGAAAUCCCCAGGCUUAACCUGGGAACUGCAUCCGAUACUGGAUGGCUUGAAUCCGGGAGAGGGAUGCAGAAUUCCAGGUGUAGCGGUGAAAUGCGUAGAGAUGUGGAGGAACACCAAUGGCGAAGGCAGCCUUCUGGGCCAACACUGACGCUCAUGCACGAAAGCGUGGGGAGCAAACGGG
This 253-nucleotide ribosomal RNA is filed under the name uncultured bacterium. RNAcentral's name for it is "partial 16S ribosomal RNA". It matches the Rfam family "Bacterial small subunit ribosomal RNA", at positions 524 to 776 of the family's 1533-position model. The record is from RNAcentral.